GUGCCCGUGGCGCAACGGUAGCGCAAGGGACUUUUAAUCCCUGGGUUGUGGGUUCGAAUCCCACCGGGCACACCA
This 75-nucleotide transfer RNA is filed under the name Firmicutes bacterium ZCTH02-B6. RNAcentral's name for it is "tRNA-Lys". It matches the Rfam family "tRNA". Rfam says of the family: Transfer RNA (tRNA) molecules are approximately 80 nucleotides in length. The record is from RNAcentral. Lineage: Bacteria; Bacillati; Bacillota. RNAcentral also lists the same sequence under 4 other names.